RNAcentral lists this unclassified non-coding RNA (1129 nucleotides) under Zerene cesonia (dogface butterfly). RNAcentral's name for it is "guanylate kinase, transcript variant X2". Lineage: Eukaryota; Metazoa; Arthropoda; Insecta; Lepidoptera; Pieridae. The record is from RNAcentral.
AAUUUGACGACUGACGUCACAUCUGUGUGUUGACUCCUCCGUAGUCUAUAUUAAAUUAUUGAUUUUGACGCCGAGCGUUUUUACGGUCUUAAAUGAAAUUGUACAAAGAAAUUCUGAUAGCAACGUAUUUAAAAUAAAAUUCAAUAAUUUCACAAACAUUUUAAUCACGAAUUUUUUAAAAUUUUUGAGUAAAAUGGUGCAGAAAGGGCCUCGACCUUUAGUUCUUUGCGGUCCUUCGGGUUCCGGUAAGAGCACUUUAUUGAAGCGAUUGCAAAAAGAAUUUCCGGAUAAGUUUGGUUUUAGCGUGUCGCAUACGACAAGAGGCCCGAGGCCGGGUGAAAAAGAUGGGGUUCAUUAUCACUUCACAACUAGGGAUAACCUGCUUGCUGCAGUUGAAAAGGGGGAAUUUAUUGAAACGGCUAUAUUCAGUGGAAACUUGUAUGGGACAAGUAAAAAGGCUGUGGAAGAUGUGCGUCUAUCAGGAAGAAUCUGUGUUCUGGAUAUUGAAAUAGAAGGAGUCAAACAAAUUAAGCGUACGGAUUUAGAUCCUUUACUUGUGUUUGUAAUGCCGCCAUCUAUGGAUGAGCUAGAGAGACGCUUACGUAACCGUAACACUGAACAAGAGGAGGCUUUACAGAAGAGAUUAGAAACAGCACGCCAUGAAAUAAAAUAUGGUCAAGAGCCAGGCAAUUUUCAUAUUGUGAUUCUGAAUGACAGCUUGGACAAAGCUUAUGCAGAGCUACGUGAUUUUAUAAUCAAGAAUGCAGAUAAUGUUGUGGAAGGGGCUGCCAUGUUUACCUUGUGGAAUGGAUCCAGUCACCCUUCGACGACCGUUAAUUGUCUAUGACAGCACAUUCGAUUACCGUCCAACAAGCUAUCCAGGGAUGAUUUUAAAUAACCAAGAUAAAAAAGUUCGAUACCAGCUAAUAAACUUCCAACGUCCUAUACAAGCACAUUAUCCAUCUUGUGCCCCAUCAUAUAACUAGAAAAUAUAUUGGUGUGGCGGCUGUCCCUCGCCUUGUUGCUCCCCGUGCCGGCCCACGUCCUGCUGCGGCGGAGCUGGUUCCCUCGUCACAGUUUACAGUCAAGUAGCACAUAUCCAGUGACCCUCGGCCAAUUGAGCUACACA